This 648-nucleotide long non-coding RNA is filed under the name Homo sapiens (human). Its description in RNAcentral is "HSALNT0112306". Lineage: Eukaryota; Metazoa; Chordata; Mammalia; Primates; Hominidae. The record is from RNAcentral.
UGGAAUAUGGCUGUGUUUCCAUCAGCCUGAAUUCCUCAUUCUCCGGAUUCCUGUUGCCCCUCUCUUACCCACAUGUAACUGUUCUCUUGAGAUGAGGAAGUUGAGGCACAAGUAUUUGAAAUAGCUUGACUGUCACACAGCUAGCAAGAGAAGAAGGCAUCUUCCAGAGUCCAUGCUCUUAAAAAAACUUGAAGUCUUUAGUCCAGGUAUACUCUGAGAGAACUACAAGAGUCAUAACAUAAAAUCUCCAGGAAAAGUGACCUAAGCUCAGCCUCAACUCUGUCUACCACUUAGAAACAACUGGAAGAAAGAAUGCCAUACAGAAGGAAUGCAUAGCAUCCCAUAGGAUAGACUGAGGCUUUCAGGUAUGACCCACAGAUAUUACUGCUAAACUUUAUCAAAUAAAGAAAUAGGAGGCUUUGAACUCUGAGCAAAAGACCAACUGAACAGCUAAACAGGUCAUCUUCACACGCUUUGGAGAGUAAUGGCAGAGAAAGUUAUUUUAAUUUGCUUGCCACAGGAAGUCCUCGAUUAUCAUCAGUCAUUUGACAGAAGAAACUAGAAUCAAACACAUGAGACAGAAUCUGACUCCAUCCAGAUCACUCUCUCGCUGUGUAGAGGAUGGGUUUGAGGAGCAUCCAUGGGGAG